Molecule: long non-coding RNA, 756 nt
Filed under: Betta splendens (Siamese fighting fish)
Lineage: Eukaryota; Metazoa; Chordata; Actinopteri; Anabantiformes; Osphronemidae
Description: lncRNA (ENSBSLG00000019974.1)
Source: RNAcentral
AUGGUUGGACACACAUGGAUCCACAGCUUGUUAAUAGUGACAGGGCUUCAGUUCACAGGAGCUGCUUUGAUCAGACGUGGACACGACGUCUCUUUCCCUUGUAACAAUCUGAUCCCUGAUCAGAGUCAGUGUGACGCCACCGUCUGGAUCUACAGUGUCUCAGGAUCAGCAUCAGUGGAGCUGGUUACACAUGGGGAGAUUAAAGAAAACGAUGCAUCUAAAUCCAACAGACUGAGUUUAACAGAGAACUGUUCUCUGGUCAUAAAGCAGGUCACAGAUCAGGAUGCUGGUCGUUACACCUGCAGACAGUUUAAAUCAGGACGACAACAAGGUGUAGAUGCUGCUGUUGACUUGUCUGUUGUUACCUUGACUCAACAUGAACACGAUAAUAAGGUGACGUUAAACUGCCGCGUGUUGACAAGAAGGUGGAAGACCUGCAGAGCAAUGUGGCUGUUUGAGGAUAAAGACCUGGAAAAGACUUCAAUAAAGUCAUCAGAGUCUCUCUGUGACGCUGUUGUUACUUUUAGUAGAAGUUCCUUCUAUUCAUCGCGGUCCAUUACUUCAUUCAAGUGUGAAGUGAGAGAUGAUCACAAUCAUCAAAGCUCCACCUUCAACCUUCAGCCUCCGAAUGCAGCAACAGCAGCGACUGAAUCCUCCGUUCUAAGCAGCACAGCAGCAGGUGAAGAACGUUGUGAAGUGAUGAACACUGAUUUUCUGCAGAUGAUGAGAAUGAGGUGGUUUCUGACCUGUGUCUGA